UAAUUAAAACCAAAAAGAGGUAUAUCACUGUUAAUGAUAAAAUUGGAUCAUUCCUAAUUAAAG
Molecule: transfer RNA, 63 nt
Filed under: Coleoptera sp. ACP-2013
Lineage: Eukaryota; Metazoa; Arthropoda; Insecta; Coleoptera
Description: tRNA-Asn
Source: RNAcentral